CAGACUACUGAUGAAAAGGUGUCAUGAAUUAAAGAUUAUGAUUAAUGCGAAUCUGUAACCCUGAGGUCCAC
RNAcentral lists this small nucleolar RNA (71 nucleotides) under Catagonus wagneri (Chacoan peccary). Its description in RNAcentral is "Small nucleolar RNA SNORD113/SNORD114 family (ENSCWAG00000019889.1)". It matches the Rfam family "Small nucleolar RNA SNORD113/SNORD114 family". Rfam says of the family: The imprinted human domain at 14q32 contains two clusters of tandemly repeated small nucleolar RNAs named 14q(I) and 14q(II) snoRNAs. These two clusters are named SNORD113 and SNORD114 respectively in the HGNC approved gene symbol nomenclature. Lineage: Eukaryota; Metazoa; Chordata; Mammalia; Artiodactyla; Tayassuidae. The record is from Rfam by way of RNAcentral.